RNAcentral lists this non-coding RNA (48 nucleotides) under unclassified sequences. RNAcentral's name for it is "chromate-resist RNA". It matches the Rfam family "chrB-b RNA". The record is from RNAcentral.
CCGGGCAAAAUGGGCGCCCGGUCAGACGAGGUUUCGUCCAAGUCCCGC